This 503-nucleotide ribosomal RNA is filed under the name Salmonella enterica. Its description in RNAcentral is "partial 23S ribosomal RNA". It matches the Rfam family "Bacterial large subunit ribosomal RNA", at positions 1 to 534 of the family's 2925-position model. Lineage: Bacteria; Pseudomonadati; Pseudomonadota; Gammaproteobacteria; Enterobacterales; Enterobacteriaceae. The record is from RNAcentral.
GGGUUGUGAGGUUAAGCGACUAAGCGUACACGGUGGAUGCCCUGGCAGUCAGAGGCGAUGAAGGGCGUGCUAAUCUGCGAUAAGCGCCGGUAAGGUGAUAUGAACCGUUAUAACCGGCGAUACCCGAAUGGGGAAACCCAGUGUGAUUCGUCACACUAUCAUUAACUGAAUCCAUAGGUUAAUGAGGCGAACCGGGGGAACUGAAACAUCUAAGUACCCCGAGGAAAAGAAAUCAACCGAGAUUCCCCCAGUAGCGGCGAGCGAACGGGGAGGAGCCCAGAGCCUGAAUCAGCAUGUGUGUUAGUGGAAGCGUCUGGAAAGGCGCGCGAUACAGGGUGACAGCCCCGUACACAAAAGCGCAUGUGCUGUGAGCUCGAUGAGUAGGGCGGGACACGUGAUAUCCUGUCUGAAUAUGGGGGGACCAUCCUCCAAGGCUAAAUACUCCUGACUGACCGAUAGUGAACCAGUACCGUGAGGGAAAGGCGAAAAGAACCCCGGCGAGG